CUAAACACGUAAUCCCUCACUCCCACUGCAUACUCACGCUCUCCUAACCCUUAAUCCUCUUUCUACCUCUGGUCCACCACGAAGCUGCUUCUGGCUUUCCUCCACCGGGAAACCACUUCUCUACAAACCGCGUUUCGUUCACGCAAGAUGUGUUCUGCGAUUUGUUGGAUUUCAAGGUACAAAAGGUGACUACCACUUCUGCAAUACACGUUUCAAGGUGAUUUUUGUUGGAUGAAUUGGCGUUUCCGUUUCCGUGCUGUGUUUUUUACUGGAUCCACGAACUGAUUUUUUACAGGAUGAAAUUCAUUUCUCGGUUCAGUUAGAGGUUCAAAACGUCAACUGAUUUUCUACGGUGUUUUAAUCAUCUGCAACUUGCUUAUGGUUCUGAAAUUUUGCAAGAGUGCAACGCUAUUCCCAGCUAAGUUCUGAAAUCACGUCUACUGAUUUUACUGCUUUGAGAACGAAAUCAGUAUUAAAGUUUUAUAGCAGUUCAGGGAGAUGAUCAAGGAUUACUUCUGUUCCAAUUCCUGUAAGUUGCUUCUUACUCAUCAUCUUAACUCUAGGUAAUUUAUUGUUUGUUACGGUAUUUUAGGAAUUCCUUUUUAACUUUAGUCUGAAUUAAAUAUAGAUUUUUAAACCAUAUAUCAAUCUAGGUUUAAAAAACAGUGAGAAGUGGACUAAUUAGUAUUUCUUUAGUACUUGAAGUGCAGAGUAUAGUAAACACGAUGCAAGAAAAAAGAAAACAGAGAAGAAAAGAAGGACGAGGGAGAUAAAAAGAGAACGAAGAGGUGUGUUUUACGUUUUGAUGUAUCUGAUAACUCUUUUUGCAGCUUUCAUAUGUGUUUCGUUUGGACAGUGCAUGAACCUUGAAAGAAUACUCACAACAUUUAGGAUGUCAGGUCUGGUUGUUGUUAAGUACAUCAGACAACCUAUCAAACUUCUAAACUUAGAUUCAUUAACCUUGUCAGAACCAUCAUCUUUGAUUAGCUUCUCCUUUUGAUUCAUGGGAGUGUUCACAGUUUUGCAAUCUUCCAUCAGAAAUUUCUUGAGUAUUUCCUUUGCAUGUUUUCUUUGACUUAAGAAAACUUCAUCCUGAUUCUGUUUGAUCUCAAUGCCAAGAAAGUAUGACAUAAGACCAAGAUCUGUCAUUUCAAAGACCUUUUUCAUUUCCAGUUUGAACUGGUUGAUUUCUUCAACAUUGCUUCCUGUAACUAACAUGACAUCCACAUAAAGAGAAAUUACCAAAAUAUUUGUACCUUGAUGUUUGACAUACAAUGUGAGUUCAGAUUGGCUUUUAUGAAAGCCAAGGUGCACCAGAUGAUCAUCAACCUUGUUGUACCAGGCUCGUGGAGCUAGCUUUAAUCCAUAUAAAUCCUUUUUCAAAAAGUAGACUUUAUUUUCAUUGCCCUCAUUCACAAAGCCUUCAGGUUGUUCAACAAAAAUUUCUUCUUGCAAAUCUCCAUUUAAGAAUGCAGAUUUAACAUCCAAAUGGUAUACUUUCCAGCUCCUUUGAGCAGCAAGAGCAAGCAAUAAUAUUACAGUGUCAAGCCUGGCAACAGGUGCAAAUGUCUUUGAAUAAUCAACACCAAAAACUUGUGCAUAUCCUUUCACAACAAGUCUUGCUUUGAAUUUGUUGAUAGAACCAUCAGGACUUAGCUUGGUUCUGAAAACCCAUCUUACUCCAAUUAUUUUUCUGUUUAGUCGACCAACCAACUCCCAGGUUUUAUUUUUCUCAAUCAUAGAAAGCUCCUCCUACAUUGCAGCCAUCCAGUGUUGACUGUUUUUUGCAUCGUGAAAUCCUGCAGGCUCACAAACAGCUACAUUGCACCUUUGACAGAUGUCAGACAAUAGUCUUGUUCCUCUGACAGGUGCAUCAUCAACUGUAGCAUCAUCUUCAGAUUCUUCAGUCAUGCUCCCAAGGGUUGAACUGUUUGGAGCAUUUGGACUUUGAUUCACCUUAGUUGAACUUUCCCAAUCCCAUUGUUCAUUUUCAACAAAAUGAACAUCUCUGCUUACAAUCACACGACCAAUUUGUGGCUGAAAAAUUUUGUAAGCUUUGGAUACAGUGCUAUAUCCAACAAAGAUGCUUGCUUAUGCUUUUUUAUCAAGCUUAUCACGCUUGACCUGUGGAAUAUAAGUGAAGCAAAGACAACCAAAUAUUUUGAGAAAUUUUAAAGAAGGUUUGUAGCCAUACCAAGCUUCAUAUGGUGUCAGAUCUUUCAAGGCUUUUGUAGAAAUUCGAUUUUGUAGGAAUACAACAGUGUUUGUUGCCUCCCCCCAUAACCCUUUUGGAAGAUUCUUUUCAUGGAGCAUACACCUUGUCAUCUCCAUAAUGAAUCUGUUCUUCCUUUCACUGACACCAUUCUGUCGAGGAGUAUAUGGUGUUGUUAAUUGAUGUUGAAUUCCAGCUUCUUCACAAAAUUUGUUGAAAGCAUCAGAGGUGUAUUCCUUGCCAUUGUCAGACCUUAUAAUCUGAAUUGAGCAUCCACUUUCAUUUUCAACUCUGGUUUUGAAUUUCCAGAAUAUACUGGGAACCUCUAACUUUUGUUUCAACAUGAAAAUCCAACACAUUCUUGUUAGAUCAUCAAUAAAAAUUAUGUAGUAGAGGUUACCAUUUAAUGAAGGUGUUCUCUGAGGACCACACAAAUCAGUGUGCACCAGUUGCAGCUUUUUCGAGGCUCUCCAAGCUUGUUUAGGGAAAGGUUGUCUGUGUUGCUUCCCAAAAUUGCAGGCAUGACAAGGAGGAAUAUUAUCAUCAAUGUCUGCGAGUCCUUCAACUAGCUUCUUUGAUUGCAUCUGAAACAAUCCUUGAUGAUGAAAGUGCCCAAGUCUUUUGUGCCAAAUCUCAGUGGCACUAGCUCUGGACUUGAAGGCCAUUUGUUCUUUCUCCAUUGGAUUUAAAGCAAAGCUUUUUCCUUUCAUUUUGACAUUGAACAAGUCUUUGCCACUAGCAUCUCUAAUCAAGCACUGUUUAUUCUCAAACAACACUUUAUAGCCUUUAUCGAGUAGGUGGCCAACACUUAAGAGAUUUUGAUCAAUUUUAGGUACAAAUAAAACAUCUGAAACAAAUUUUGUACCUUCAUAGCUUGCUAUAGCUACUGUGCCUUUUUCCCUUGACUUCCAAGAGUUCACCAUUUCCAAUUCUCACUCUCUUAACUUCAGUGUUUUUUAAUUCUUCGAAAAGCUCCUUGUCAUAUGUCAUAUGAUUUGUGCACCCACUGUCAAUCAACCAGCUCUCACUUGAUUCUCUACUUGAGAAACAAGUGACCACGAACAAUUGAUCUUCUUCUUGACCAACAACUUGUGCAUCUACUUCUUGCACCUGACCUUUGACUUUGCAGAUCACAGCUUCAUGUCCAAGUUGAUUGCAUUUGGAGCAUUUUGCAUCGGGUCUUCUCCAACACUUGUAUGGUGGAUGACCUUUCUUCUCACAGUGGCGGCAAGGUGGGUAGGAUUUUUUGGAACCUUCUUCCUUUUUUAAGUUUUUCUUCUUUUUGUACCUGUUGUUGUCUUGAUGCUUGACAGGUAAAGCUCCUUCAAUCACCCCUUCUUGCCUCAUAGACCUUCUUUGCUCUUGUGCUUGUAAAGCAUUCAAGAGCUCUGUAAGAGAGAUUUUUGACAGGUCUUAGGUGUUCUCCAGAGUAGUAAUGGUGGCUUCAAACUUCCCGGGAACAGUGACCUGCAGCUUUUCAACAAUCCUAGAGUCAAUACACACAGAACCAAGUAAUCUCACCUUAUUGGCAAUGCUGAGAAGUCUGUCAGAGUACUCCUUCAUUGACUCAAACUCCUUCCUCUUCUGCAACUCGAAAUCCUGAAUCAAAUUCAGGACUUUCAUUCCACGAAUCCUCUCAUCUCCUGCAAAUUCACCCUUGAGGUAAUCCCAAAUUUCCUUUGUUGUUUUGAGGGACAUUAUUCGUGUGAAGAUCAUUUGAGAUAUAACUGCAAAUAGGCAAGCUUUUUCCUUUGAUUUUAUGGUUUUUUUCUCCUUCUAUGCUUUGAUUUGUGCAACAGUAGGAUUUGCUGGAAGUGGAGGGACUUCGUAAUCUUCUUCUACUGCUUCCCAAAGAUCCAAAGCCUUCAGAUAAGUCUCCAUACGAAUUGCCCACAUUUGAUAAUUGUCUCCAUCAAAGACUGGUGGUGCAACAGCUGAAAAACUUGAUUCUCCUUCCAUUUUGACCUCACAGAUCCCUUAAGAAGAGUGCUUUGAUACCAAUUUGUUAGUUUCAAAACAAAUAAUAUUUGAUUGAUCAAUUGAGAUGAUAUAUUAAAGUUGGAAAGUUGUGCAUUUGUACACAGAAUGAAUAAAGAUUGUUCUAAAAAACAGAAAAUAAAUAUGGUAACAAACCAAUAGUUAAAACAGAAUUAAUUAAUUUUCUAAAAAUCUGGAGACUUAUUCAAUAACAAAAAAAAGCUAACUUGUAGGAUGUUAAACACAUGAUCCUAACAAACAUUCUUAAAUAUCAACUUUUUUUUAAAAGAACUAUAGAAAAGGUUUCAUAAAACCAAUAAAAGAAGAAAGAGUUUGGUUACUGACUUACCACGUCAAAAACAGCCUUAAGUUAACU
RNAcentral lists this long non-coding RNA (4565 nucleotides) under Phaseolus vulgaris (common bean). Its description in RNAcentral is "long non-coding RNA (PVUL_LNC001900)". The record is from RNAcentral. Lineage: Eukaryota; Viridiplantae; Streptophyta; Magnoliopsida; Fabales; Fabaceae.